This 195-nucleotide non-coding RNA is filed under the name Bacillota bacterium. Its description in RNAcentral is "Firmicutes bacterium T-box sequence". It matches the Rfam family "T-box leader". Rfam says of the family: Uncharged tRNA acts as the effector for transcription antitermination of genes in the T-box leader family. T-boxes are found upstream of many aminoacyl-tRNA synthetase genes and some amino acid biosynthetic genes usually in Gram-positive bacteria. Lineage: Bacteria; Bacillati; Bacillota. The record is from RNAcentral.
UUUAACGCAUCGAACCGAAAUAGUAAGUGGAAAGUUGAUGGAUAGAGAGCAGUCGUAUGGUGGAAGAUUGUCAUGAACACCGCUGAACUCAUCGGGGAGCUGAUAGAAAAACUAUCCGUAAGUUCUGCGAUAAAGAACACAGAGUGCCCGCAAUCGCGGGAAAUAAGGUGGUACCGCGUGAACAACGUCCUUAUG